GACGAACGCUGGCGGCGUGCUUAACACAUGCAAGUCGAACGGAAAGGCCCCUUUGGGGUACUCGAGUGGCGAACGGGUGAGUAACACGUGAGUAACCUGCCCUUGACUUCGGGAUAACUUCAGGAAACUGGGGCUAAUACCGGAUAGGAAUCCUUGCUGCAUGGUGGGGGUUGGAAAGCUUCGGCGGUUUUGGAUGGACUCGCGGCUUAUCAGCUUGUUGGUGGGGUAGUGGCUUACCAAGGCUUUGACGGGUAGCCGGCCUGAGAGGGCGACCGGCCACAUUGGGACUGAGAUACGGCCCAGACUCCUACGGGAGGCAGCAGUGGGGAAUAUUGCACAAUGGGCGGAAGCCUGAUGCAGCAACGCCGCGUGCGGGAUGACGGCCUUCGGGUUGUAAACCGCUUUCAGCAGGGGCGAAGCUUGUGGUGACGGUACCUGCAGAAGAAGCACCGGCUAACUACGUG
This 464-nucleotide ribosomal RNA is filed under the name uncultured bacterium. RNAcentral describes it as "partial 16S ribosomal RNA". It matches the Rfam family "Bacterial small subunit ribosomal RNA", at positions 28 to 507 of the family's 1533-position model. The record is from RNAcentral.